This 801-nucleotide ribosomal RNA is filed under the name Actinomycetes bacterium. RNAcentral's name for it is "bacterial SSU rRNA". It matches the Rfam family "Bacterial small subunit ribosomal RNA", at positions 61 to 879 of the family's 1533-position model. The record is from RNAcentral. Lineage: Bacteria; Bacillati; Actinomycetota; Actinomycetes.
GUCGACGAUGACCACUUCGGUGGGGAUUAGUGGCGAACGGGUGAGUAACACGUGGGCAAUCUGCCCUUCACUCUGGGACAAGCCCUGGAAACGGGGUCUAAUACCGGAUAGCACUUCUGCUCGCAUGGGCAGGGGUUGAAAGCUCCGGCGGUGAAGGAUGAGCCCGCGGCCUAUCAGCUUGUUGGUGAGGUAAUGGCUCACCAAGGCGACGACGGGUAGCCGGCCUGAGAGGGCGACCGGCCACACUGGGACUGAGACACGGCCCAGACUCCUACGGGAGGCAGCAGUGGGGAAUAUUGCACAAUGGGCGAAAGCCUGAUGCAGCGACGCCGCGUGAGGGAUGACGGCCUUCGGGUUGUAAACCUCUUUCAGCAGGGAAGAAGCGAAAGUGACGGUACCUGCAGAAGAAGCGCCGGCUAACUACGUGCCAGCAGCCGCGGUAAUACGUAGGGCGCAAGCGUUGUCCGGAAUUAUUGGGCGUAAAGAGCUCGUAGGCGGCUUGUCACGUCGGGUGUGAAAGCCCGGGGCUUAACCCCGGGUCUGCAUUCGAUACGGGCUAGCUAGAGUGUGGUAGGGGAGAUCGGAAUUCCUGGUGUAGCGGUGAAAUGCGCAGAUAUCAGGAGGAACACCGGUGGCGAAGGCGGAUCUCUGGGCCAUUACUGACGCUGAGGAGCGAAAGCGUGGGGAGCGAACAGGAUUAGAUACCCUGGUAGUCCACGCCGUAAACGGUGGGAACUAGGUGUUGGCGACAUUCCACGUCGUCGGUGCCGCAGCUAACGCAUUAAGUUCCCCGCCUGGGGA